Molecule: ribosomal RNA, 253 nt
Filed under: uncultured bacterium
Lineage: Bacteria
Description: partial 16S ribosomal RNA
Rfam family: Bacterial small subunit ribosomal RNA
Source: RNAcentral
UACGGAGGGGGCUAGCGUUGUUCGGAAUUACUGGGCGUAAAGCGCGCGUAGGCGGACCUGCAAGUCGGGGGUGAAAGCCCGAGGCUCAACCUCGGAUCUGCCUCCGAUACUGCGGGUCUCGAGUCCGGGAGAGGUGAGUGGAAUUCCUAGUGUAGAGGUGAAAUUCGUAGAUAUUAGGAAGAACACCAGUGGCGAAGGCUGCUCACUGGCCCGGUACUGACGCUGAGGCGCGAAAGCGUGGGGAGCAAACAGG